UUUAAAAAUAAUUUAUUUAUUUAUUGUUUUAGUAUUAAGUAAAAAUUAAUUUUAAGAUUUAUAGUUAAUUAGUAUUGUAAAAGAAUUUAUUUAAAUUAUAAAAAGAAUUUUUAAUAGUACCUUUUGUAUCAGGGUUGAUUAAAAAUUUUUAAUUAUUUUAAAUUUCUCAAAAUUUAUGGGAGUUAAUUUUAUUAUAAAUUUAUUGUGGUAUAAAUAUUUAUUAAAUAAUAUUAGUUUUGAAAUUUAAUUCGUUAUAAAAUAUUUAGUUAUUUAAGAUUUAAAUUUAAUUUAAAAAUUUAAAAGUUUAAUUAUUUUAGAUAAAUAAUAUAAUUUUAAAUUUAAAUUAUUUUAGGGAUAAGCUUGAAUUUAUAUAUAAUUUUUUUUUUUUUAAUAAUAUAUAGGAAUAGAAAUUUUUAUUUUAAGUUUGUAAAAUUUAUUAUUUUUAAAUAUUUUAUUUAUUAUAAAUUAAAAUUUAUUUUUAAUAUUAAAUUAUAUUAAUUAAUAAAUAAUUAAUAGUAAUAAUGAUUAAAUUAGUAUAAUAUGUAAUUAUAAAUUAUGAAUUCGGCAAAUAAUAUUUUCAUCUGUUUAACAAAAACAUUGUAUUAAGUUUUAUUUAAUAUAGGAUCUGCUCAAUGAUUUUAUUAAAUAGCUGCAGUAUUUUGACUGUGCAAAG
RNAcentral lists this ribosomal RNA (673 nucleotides) under Eriosoma lanigerum (woolly apple aphid). Its description in RNAcentral is "partial 16S large subunit ribosomal RNA". Lineage: Eukaryota; Metazoa; Arthropoda; Insecta; Hemiptera; Aphididae. The record is from RNAcentral.